This 65-nucleotide transfer RNA is filed under the name Dipodomys ordii (Ord's kangaroo rat). It matches the Rfam family "tRNA". From Rfam's summary of the family: Transfer RNA (tRNA) molecules are approximately 80 nucleotides in length. Their secondary structure includes four short double-helical elements and three loops (D, anti-codon, and T loops). The record is from Rfam by way of RNAcentral. Lineage: Eukaryota; Metazoa; Chordata; Mammalia; Rodentia; Heteromyidae.
GGUGGCUCAGUGGUAGAGCAUUUGCUUUGCAUGCCAGAAGCCCUGGGUUCGAUUCCUCAGCACCA